GAGGCGAUCGAUCACCAUGGCGACGUACUUCCAGUCCUCGCUCACCUGCGGACAAAAGAGGACGAAAGCCAAGUCGGCCUGGGAAUUUUCUGCCUUCGAAGAUUCCAUCAGGCCCACCUCCUCUGUAUGACGCAAAAAAAAAAGACUUUGACGUACAAGUACGUCCUUGGUAGGCGGGGCCUAAUUUUAAAAAGACGUACAAGUUGCGCAACGAAAGACUUAAAAGCCGACAUGUUCCAGAAUUUUCACGUCGCUGUCAAUGGCACUGGACGAAGUCAUUGCGUACAUUUUCUGCUUUUAAAAGGUAGUAUUGGAAGCUUCUUUGACAUUUUUCCAGCUUUUUCCUCUGAAGCUGUUUUGAGGGGGGGACAAAGUCGACCUCGCCUUAAUAUCGCACGCCUCUUUCAAACUCCCUUUAAAGGUGACAUUUUCCUGACUUUUCCAUUGCCACCACUCUACGUAAACAGCACUGACACAAUAGAAGGUAGGAUGUCAACCUGGCAAUUUUCCGUCCUUUGAGGUACUUUCCCAAUUUAGAAGCCUCUUAAAUACUGCCUGGUUUGUAAAAUAUGUCAUUUUUAUGUCUUUUUCCUGUAUGGCUGUCUUGGAUAAACUACACCGCUGGAGAACGGCGUGACAAAGUCGACCCAGCAUUUUUCAACCUUUUGGAGCUGCUCUGUAUAAAUGGGACCGAACUGGAGGGACAAAGUUCACCCAGUAAUUUUCCGCCUUCAGAGGAAGGAUCAGAAGCCCUUUUAACAUCAACUGCAAAAGCCGCAGAUUUUUUUUUUCCAUGUUGAUCGUUACAAAUAGCACUGACAUGGAAUGAGGGUUACAAAGUUGACCCACCGUUGAAGGGUACGGUCAGAAUUUAUGUGUCGCUGUUUUGUAAAAAAACAGCAUUAAAAGUACACCCGGGAAUUUAGGGCUCAGAUACUACCUCCAAAACUGCAUACCCGGGUCGCCUUUGCCCUUCCGUUCCGCAUUGGCGCUUUUAACACACAAAUGUGAGACAGGAAAAUGGCCGUGACAAAUAGAAUGUUAGCUUCUAAAAGGCACGGGCGGCUCCAUUCCGGAUCUUCUGUUACGGCUCCCAUGCCGCCGAUUUCGCAGGAUCUCCGCGUGAAAGCGGCUCAACGGAUAAACAGAAUUCCGUUUUCCCGGGCUUGUCAUUUUCUCUCCAUCACGAUCCUAGCGCCGUGCAGCGCGCGCCUGGUUAAUGGAGGUGAGGGGUUAAUGCAAGCUGGGACUCGUUCCUCCGCACGACGCUGAUGAGGUCUCGUCAGGAGUCAAGGAAGACGGAAAGGACGUGAGAGCGAUGGAGGACGGGGAGAGAGAAAGAGAGAGACGGCGACACCCUUCGCUCCGAUGAGGACAACGGAUGAAGGAGGUGGAGGAGGAGUGUGGGAGGACAGGCGUUGGCAUGGCAACGACUGGGACAACCGGGAAAGUUGUCUGGAAGAAGCCUUGAGGUAAAACUCCGGUGAAUGCCGUCCCAUUUUCAUCGUUUCCGACUCCUGCGUGCUCGCGUCAUGACACUGUUCUAUAAUUUCAUGACUGUUGAAUCUCAAAUAGACCGUGAUUGCGGUUUUGUAUCUGUCUCUUUCGCUUUGGCUACACUGCAAGAUUUAGGCUCGUAUUAGUCUAAUGAGAUUCAAAACGAGAACCGUGUCUUCAUAAUAGCUACUGUAGAAUGUCAGUGAAUGG
Long non-coding RNA from Hippocampus zosterae (dwarf seahorse), 1707 nucleotides. RefSeq lists it as uncharacterized. The record is from RefSeq and is a predicted model, not a curated record. NCBI's taxonomy places the organism in Eukaryota, Metazoa, Chordata, Actinopteri, Syngnathiformes, Syngnathidae. The transcript has 3 exons.